RNAcentral lists this ribosomal RNA (449 nucleotides) under uncultured bacterium. Its description in RNAcentral is "partial 16S ribosomal RNA". It matches the Rfam family "Bacterial small subunit ribosomal RNA", at positions 29 to 523 of the family's 1533-position model. The record is from RNAcentral.
AACGAACGCUGGCGGCAUGCCUAACACAUGCAAGUCGAACGAAGCCUUCGGGCUUAGUGGCGCACGGGUGCGUAACGCGUGGGAAUCUGCCCUUUGGUUCGGAAUAACAGUUGGAAACGACUGCUAAUACCGGAUGAUGACGAAAGUCCAAAGAUUUAUCGCCAGAGGAUGAGCCCGCGUAGGAUUAGCUAGUUGGUGUGGUAAAGGCGCACCAAGGCGACGAUCCUUAGCUGGUCUGAGAGGAUGAUCAGCCACACUGGGACUGAGACACGGCCCAGACUCCUUCGGGAGGCAGCAGUGAGGAAUAUUGGACAAUGGGCGAAAGCCUGAUCCAGCAAUGCCGCGUGAGUGAUGAAGGCCCUAGGGUUGUAAAGCUCUUUUACCCGGGAUGAUAAUGACAGUACCGGGAGAAUAAGCCCCGGCUAACUCCGUGCCAGCCGCCGCAGUAA